AGUUGCAAGGUAUAGACCCGAAACCCGGUGAUCUAGCCAUGGGCAGGUUGAAGGUUGGGUAACACUAACUGGAGGACCGAACCGACUAAUGUUGAAAAAUUAGCGGAUGACUUGUGGCUGGGGGUGAAAGGCCAAUCAAACCGGGAGAUAGCUGGUUCUCCCCGAAAUCUAUUUAGGUAGAGCCUUGAGGUGACACCUUUGGGGGUAGAGCACUGUUUCGGCUAGGGGUCCAUCCCGGAUUACCAACCCGAUGCAAACUACGAAUACCAAAGAGUGAUACUCAGGAGACACACGGCGGGUGCUAACGUCCGUCGUGGAGAGGGAAACAACCCAGACCGCCAGCUAAGGUCCCCAAGUCUAUAUUAAGUGGGAAACGAAGUGGGAAGGCUUAGACAGCUAGGAUGUUGGCUUAGAAGCAGCCAUCAUUUAAAGAAAGCGUAAUAGCUCACUAGUCGAGUCGGCCUGCGCGGAAGAUGUAACGGGGCUGAAAUAUAGCACCGAAGCUGCGGCAUCAGGCGUAUCACUAAUACGCCUUACGAUUAACAACAUGGAAUGGCGCGAAGCGUCAUGAAAGGUUGUUCAAGCAACCCGAACGUUGAGUCGGCACAUUUUUGAAGUAAGGAUGAUUAGUGAUACGCCUGUUGGGUAGGGGAGCGUUGUGUAAGCGGAAGAAGGUUCAUCGAGAGGUGGGCUGGACGUAUCACAAGUGCGAAUGCUGACAUAAGUAACGAUAAAACGGGUGAAAAACCCGUUCGCCGGAAGACCAAGGGUUCCUGUCCAACGUUAAUCGGGGCAGGGUGAGUCGGCUCCUAAGGCGAGGCUGAAAAGCGUAGUCGAUGGGAAACAGGUUAAUAUUCCUGUACUUGGUAAAGCUGCGAUGUGGGGACGGAGUAGGUUAGGUUAUCGCACUGUUGGAUAUGUGCGUUUAAGUUGGUAGGUGGGAAGUUUAGGCAAAUCCGGACUUCCUUAACACAGAGAGAUGAUGACGAGGCUCUACGGAGCUGAAGUAACUGAUACCACACUUCCAGGAAAAGCCACUAAGCGAAAGGCUUUACUAAACCGUACUGAAAACCGACACAGGUGGUCAGGUAGAGAAUACUCAGGCGCUUGAGAGAACUCGGGUGAAGGAACUAGGCAAAAUAGCACCGUAACUUCGGGAGAAGGUGCGCUUACAGUAAUUGUAGUCCCUUACGGAUGAAGGUGAAGUAAGUCGAAGAUACCAGCUGGCUGCAACUGUUUAUUAAAAACACAGCACUCUGCAAACACGAAAGUGGACGUAUAGGGUGUGAUGCCUGCCCGGUGCUGGAAGGUUAAUUGAUGGUGUCAUCGCAAGAGAAGCACCUGAUCGAAGCCCCAGUAAACGGCGGCCGUAACUAUAACGGUCCUAAGGUAGCGAAAUUCCUUGUCGGGUAAGUUCCGACCUGCACGAAUGGCAUAAUGAUGGCCAGGCUGUCUCCACCCGAGACUCAGUGAAAUUGAAAUCGCCGUGAAGAUGCGGUGUACCCGCGGCUAGACGGAAAGACCCCGUGAACCUUUACUAUAGCUUGACACUGAACAUUGAAUUUUGAUGUGUAGGAUAGGUGGGAGACUUAGAAGCAGUCACGCCAGUGAUUGUGGAGUCAUCCUUGAAAUACCACCCUUUAACGUUUGAUGUUCUAACGAAGAUGACGAAACGUGGUCUCGGACAGUGUCUGGUGGGUAGUUUGACUGGGGCGGUCUCCUCCCAAAGCGUAACGGAGGAGCACGAAGGUUUGCUAAUCACGGUCGGACAUCGUGAGGUUAGUGCAAUGGUAUAAGCAAGCUUAACUGCGAGACAGACAAGUCGAGCAGGUACGAAAGUAGGUCAUAGUGAUCCGGUGGUUCUGAAUGGAAGGGCCAUCGCUCAACGGAUAAAAGGUACUCCGGGGAUAACAGGCUGAUACCGCCCAAGAGUUCAUAUCGACGGCGGUGUUUGGCACCUCGAUGUCGGCUCAUCACAUCCUGGGGCUGAAGUAGGUCCCAAGGGUAUGGCUGUUCGCCAUUUAAAGUGGUACGCGAGCUGGGUUUAGAACGUCGUGAGACAGUUCGGUCCCUAUCUGCCGUGGGCGUAGGAUGAUUGAUUGGGGCUGCUCCUAGUACGAGAGGACCGGAGUGGACGCAUCACUGGUGUUCCAGUUGUCUCGCCAGAGGCAUUGCUGGGUAGCUAAAUGCGGAAGAGAUAAGUGCUGAAAGCAUCUAAGCACGAAACUUGCCAAGAGAUGAGUCAUCCCUGACUUUAAGUCAGUAAGGGUUGUUGUAGACUACGACGUAGAUAGGUCAGGUGUGUAAGUGUAGUGAUACAUUGAGCUAACAGAUACUAAUUGCCCGAGAGGCUUAACUAUACAACGCUCAAG
Molecule: ribosomal RNA, 2372 nt
Filed under: Haemophilus influenzae
Lineage: Bacteria; Pseudomonadati; Pseudomonadota; Gammaproteobacteria; Pasteurellales; Pasteurellaceae
Description: bacterial LSU rRNA
Rfam family: Bacterial large subunit ribosomal RNA
Source: RNAcentral